Drosophila obscura is the source of this 858-nucleotide long non-coding RNA. RefSeq lists it as uncharacterized. The transcript has 2 exons. NCBI's taxonomy places the organism in Eukaryota, Metazoa, Arthropoda, Insecta, Diptera, Drosophilidae. The record is from RefSeq and is a predicted model, not a curated record.
AGGUGGAGGUGGAGGCGUGUCAACAAAUGUGAUUGAAAAUGCCAAACAGAUGAUUUGGCAGCCAUACGAUUUGUGUAUGUGUAUGUGUCUGUAUGUAUGAUCUGGAGAAUAUAUUGGGAUGAAAAUAAGAUUAUUUCCUGAGAAAGAAGCACAGCGAAAAGCCCCCCAAAGUGUUAACCAGUCUCUGCUAAAUGCCAAGAAAAUGAACAAGUUGCUUGGAUUUUGGGUGUGUUUUCGGAUUCAGGGGAACGGGUUUUUCGCCAUUGAGGGACUCUGGUCUCUGCGCAAACAACACAAGUCGUUUCCAAGUCUGAAAUGCUAAAUAGCCAGAGCCACACAGUCAGAUGGGGUGCUCUCCGGCUGGAGGUUGGCUGCAACCUUAUAAGAAAGCAAAAGUGUUGCCAAAGUCUUACAGAAAACCCGUUAGUACCCCUCCCUCCAUCCGCCCGCUGUUGCCAAAGAAGAAAAAACAGAAGCAGCAGAAAAGAAAAGAAAAACAUAAAACUGGCAAACGGAAUAGAAAUAGAAAGAGAUUUGUGGUAUGGCGCAUAACUUUCACAUGCCUUGGGUCUCUAUAAGAAAAUUGUACCGUUUGUUAAAGCUGCUGCUGACGACGACGACGACGACAACAACGAUGGAGACGGCGAUGACGAUGAAAUGGCACAAAAGAAAAGGCCAAGAGAUCGUAUGAUGUUUGCUGCCCCAGUGGCUGUAGCGGCUGCUCUCACAGAUAGCGAGAGUGAGUGAAAUGUAGAAGUGAAUGUUGUUUGAUUUCUGUGAUCUCUUUGAUUUUGAUUUCAGUUUAACUUUUGAAGAAUAAAGGAAAUCGCGCAAUGGCUUUAGCCAUUAGCUACACAC